Molecule: ribosomal RNA, 280 nt
Filed under: uncultured bacterium
Lineage: Bacteria
Description: partial 16S ribosomal RNA
Rfam family: Bacterial small subunit ribosomal RNA
Source: RNAcentral
CCCUACGGGAGGCAGCAGUGGGGAAUAUUGCACAAUGGGGGAAACCCUGAUGCAGCAACGCCGCGUGAGUGAAGAAGUACUUCGGUAUGUAAAGCUCUAUCAGCAGGGAAGAAGAAAGACGGUACCUGACUAAGAAGCCCCGGCUAACUACGUGCCAGCAGCCGCGGUAAUACGUAGGGGGCAAGCGUUAUCCGGAUUUACUGGGUGUAAAGGGAGCGUAGACGGCAUAGCAAGUCUGAAGUGAAAGCCCGUGGCUCAACCGCGAAACUGCUUUGGAAAC